CUUCUAGUGCUUACAAGCAUGGAGUCUUCUUCUUUCUCCUUAUGUUGCUGCUGCCCGGCUUUGCCACCCUAGUUGGGUCCAAGAUUGCCAGUGCUAUCACUGGUCAGCCUGAUCUUUUAUAAUAGAAGAUCUUUAGCUGUCUUUUUUGGUCCUUCCUGAUCCAUGUAACUGAUAGUUUUCAAGGCAUUUUGGCUUUGAAUUAACAUGUCCAAGGAUAGUUGUGACUGCCAGGGAGAAUCUGUUCUUUUGCCAUUUCUCU
This 259-nucleotide long non-coding RNA is filed under the name Elaeis guineensis (African oil palm). Its description in RNAcentral is "long non-coding RNA (EGUI_LNC026714)". The record is from RNAcentral. Lineage: Eukaryota; Viridiplantae; Streptophyta; Magnoliopsida; Arecales; Arecaceae.